RNAcentral lists this ribosomal RNA (1340 nucleotides) under Escherichia coli. RNAcentral describes it as "partial 23S ribosomal RNA". It matches the Rfam family "Bacterial large subunit ribosomal RNA", at positions 402 to 1744 of the family's 2925-position model. Lineage: Bacteria; Pseudomonadati; Pseudomonadota; Gammaproteobacteria; Enterobacterales; Enterobacteriaceae. The record is from RNAcentral.
AGCUCGAUGAGUAGGGCGGGACACGUGGUAUCCUGUCUGAAUAUGGGGGGACCAUCCUCCAAGGCUAAAUACUCCUGACUGACCGAUAGUGAACCAGUACCGUGAGGGAAAGGCGAAAAGAACCCCGGCGAGGGGAGUGAAAAAGAACCUGAAACCGUGUACGUACAAGCAGUGGGAGCACGCUUAGGCGUGUGACUGCGUACCUUUUGUAUAAUGGGUCAGCGACUUAUAUUCUGUAGCAAGGUUAACCGAAUAGGGGAGCCGAAGGGAAACCGAGUCUUAACUGGGCGUUAAGUUGCAGGGUAUAGACCCGAAACCCGGUGAUCUAGCCAUGGGCAGGUUGAAGGUUGGGUAACACUAACUGGAGGACCGAACCGACUAAUGUUGAAAAAUUAGCGGAUGACUUGUGGCUGGGGGUGAAAGGCCAAUCAAACCGGGAGAUAGCUGGUUCUCCCCGAAAGCUAUUUAGGUAGCGCCUCGUGAAUUCAUCUCCGGGGGUAGAGCACUGUUUCGGCAAGGGGGUCAUCCCGACUUACCAACCCGAUGCAAACUGCGAAUACCGGAGAAUGUUAUCACGGGAGACACACGGCGGGUGCUAACGUCCGUCGUGAAGAGGGAAACAACCCAGACCGCCAGCUAAGGUCCCAAAGUCAUGGUUAAGUGGGAAACGAUGUGGGAAGGCCCAGACAGCCAGGAUGUUGGCUUAGAAGCAGCCAUCAUUUAAAGAAAGCGUAAUAGCUCACUGGUCGAGUCGGCCUGCGCGGAAGAUGUAACGGGGCUAAACCAUGCACCGAAGCUGCGGCAGCGACGCUUAUGCGUUGUUGGGUAGGGGAGCGUUCUGUAAGCCUGUGAAGGUGUGCUGUGAGGCAUGCUGGAGGUAUCAGAAGUGCGAAUGCUGACAUAAGUAACGAUAAAGCGGGUGAAAAGCCCGCUCGCCGGAAGACCAAGGGUUCCUGUCCAACGUUAAUCGGGGCAGGGUGAGUCGACCCCUAAGGCGAGGCCGAAAGGCGUAGUCGAUGGGAAACAGGUUAAUAUUCCUGUACUUGGUGUUACUGCGAAGGGGGGACGGAGAAGGCUAUGUUGGCCGGGCGACGGUUGUCCCGGUUUAAGCGUGUAGGCUGGUUUUCCAGGCAAAUCCGGAAAAUCAAGGCUGAGGCGUGAUGACGAGGCACUACGGUGCUGAAGCAACAAAUGCCCUGCUUCCAGGAAAAGCCUCUAAGCAUCAGGUAACAUCAAAUCGUACCCCAAACCGACACAGGUGGUCAGGUAGAGAAUACCAAGGCGCUUGAGAGAACUCGGGUGAAGGAACUAGGCAAAAUGGUGCCGUAACUUCGGGAGAA